This is a long non-coding RNA of Ictalurus punctatus (channel catfish), 1001 nucleotides long. RefSeq lists it as uncharacterized. Lineage: Eukaryota; Metazoa; Chordata; Actinopteri; Siluriformes; Ictaluridae. The transcript has 3 exons. The record is from RefSeq and is a predicted model, not a curated record.
CACACACACACACAUGCUCACAUACACACAUGCUUUCAUACAUCACACACACACUCACACAUACACACACACACUCACACAUACACACAUGCUCACAUACACACAUGCUUUCAUACACCACACACACACACUCACACAUACACACACACACACAUGUUCUCACACACUGCUCCCAGGACCUGCCUGACUGGAUUCUCCACACAUGUUCUGGGGUUGAGGUCGACUCCCAUAGUGAGGAGAUGACACCAGUAUUGCUCAGCAUUCAGACCGCAGAUGUAACUACAAAUUGAAGCAAGACUUUAAGUUGCAGAGGAGCUCCUGAAUUUAGUAGGUGAAAUGCAGUACGCCAAUGGAGUAGUAUGUCCGAAUUCUAAAACAGGUGAGAAAUACCCGGAUGUCCUACUGCUUCCGCCGAGAUUCGGCAGUAUGGAACCAAUGGACACUGCGCUAUCCCAUAAGGCAAUGGGACUGGCUUGGAAGAGGUGUCAGAAACAAAGAUGGUGGAAGGCAGUGUGUCAGCUCUUUUUAAGUGUAAGUGCUAUAGGCAUUAAACGUUGUUCCUUGAGGUUAAACCGUACUUUUUUUUAACAACAUCUGAGUAAAUUGUUAACUUGUUGAAGGUUUAAACAAAACAAAACAGUUAAACAGUUGCCACAAGGCGCCUCUUUAACUUUUUUGCGGUUAUUAUGACGACGUAGGUCACAUGACAGUGCCGACAUGGCGGGUGUAGUAUGUCCAGGUUGUAUUCAUACUACACGCAUGUACUCAUCAUGACUUCGGACGCACGGACAAACUGACGCAACUACAUUAUACCAUACUGAAAUGUGUUUAAGACAAUGUAAAAUGUGCGAAAGAAAAUUUGCCCUAAUGUCCAGAGUUCAGAUCCUGACAAUAGCCAGGAAUCCACAAGAGCCAAUCUGGCCAUGCUGUGUGAGUGGGAGGGAUGGCAUACACACUCCCUUCUCAAUCAGAGUGACACUAGAAAAUCGUGGGCAUCUGGA